RNAcentral lists this long non-coding RNA (356 nucleotides) under Malus domestica (apple). RNAcentral describes it as "long non-coding RNA (MDOM_LNC005193)". Lineage: Eukaryota; Viridiplantae; Streptophyta; Magnoliopsida; Rosales; Rosaceae. The record is from RNAcentral.
UAUCCGCCAAUAUACAUUCAUAAGAGUUCAAAAGCAAAUUUCACCCGUUUCUGAGGUCUUCAUAUUUUACCCAUUCCCACGUGCUAAAUUUUGGGCGUCAUCUUCCAAAUUGUCAAGGCAUGAUAUCAGCUCCAUUUCUACAAGUGAAUUCGUAAAGCUUAGACAUUAUUGAUAUAUGAUGAAUUUUUUAGACUAUUCUAAAAGGAAGGAUUGCUCAAGUAGAUAUAGUUCUCACUUAUUCUGGUAGUCUCUGUAAUCCCUUAGCAAGCAAAUCGUUGAUGAGUUCCCCUUGAAAGCUUGGUUAGAGAAUGCGCUCGCCUGCACAUGCACUUCAGAACUCAAUUCAUACAUAUCGG